Molecule: ribosomal RNA, 406 nt
Filed under: uncultured bacterium
Lineage: Bacteria
Description: partial 16S ribosomal RNA
Rfam family: Bacterial small subunit ribosomal RNA
Source: RNAcentral
AUUGAACGCUGGCGGCAGGCCUAACACAUGCAAGUCGAACGAGUGGCGGACGGGUGAGUAAUGUCUGGGAAACUGCCUGAUGGAGGGGGAUAACUACUGGAAACGGUAGCUAAUACCGCAUACCAUCGGAUGUGCCCAGAUGGGAUUAGCUAGUAGGUGGGGUAAAGGCUCACCUAGGCGACGAUGCCUAGCUGGUCUGAUAGGAUGACCAGCCAAACUGGAACUGAGACACGGUCCAGACUCCUACGGGAGGCAGCAGUGGGGAAUAUUGGACAAUGGGCGCAAGCCGGAUGCAGCCAGGCCGCGUGUAUGAAUAAGGCCUUCGGGUUGUAAAGUACUUUCAGCGGUGAGGCGUUACCCGCAUAAGAAGCACCGGCUAACGCCGUGCCAGCAGCCUCUGUAAUUC